This 1381-nucleotide long non-coding RNA is filed under the name Equus caballus (horse). RNAcentral describes it as "lncRNA (ENSECAG00000053680.1)". The record is from RNAcentral. Lineage: Eukaryota; Metazoa; Chordata; Mammalia; Perissodactyla; Equidae.
GAGGGUCUCACUUUAUAAACAGGGCUGCUCGCUCUGUAAGCACGUGGUUGAAGACCUGGCAUUCGGGGUUUACUUCUACAACUUUGCUCUCCCCACCUCGAGGAGAAAUGUGCCAUGCAUGUUAUGGCCGUGAAAAGACAGAAAAGAAAGAAGAGAAAGACCUCCUGUAAUUCUCGGAAUGUGUUAGAAAGCAAAGUUCCGCAUUCAGCGCUGAGCCAUGCCCUGGCUCUGCCGGGGCGGAAACGGUGCGGAGGCUUGGAGCGAACUCACUGAAGCCGGAGGAAAAGCUCUCGCCUGUCUCCGCGCUGCUUAUGAAAGACCAGAAUUUCAUCUUUCUCGAGUCCGCACGUGGCGAUGCUGGCGAAGCAGUGAAAAUCCAUCCGUCCUCCCUCUGCUAACGAUAAAAAUACAGAAACUCAGCAAACUAAUCAGGGAGUCUCACCCUGCAGUUCUGGAGCAGAAAACUUAAACGAGUUCUCACGUCACUAAAAUGUCAUCACAUCUUGUGAAAAUGUACCGCAGGAUGCCUGCUUCUCCCCACCUAAGCAGUUCCCCUCCGCUGUGCUUUCACAGUGGCCUCGGUCUUGUUUCUCCCGCUUGCCUUUGUUCCUGUGCUCCUGCUGUCAGUGAAGGUGGCGCAGUUCCAAGGUUUGCCUAUCUUCUCUUGCCCCCUAUCUUCAGAUAUGUGCGGAUUGCAACUUGGCAAGUGACGUGUGUCGUCCUUGAUGGGAAAAAAACACAACCAAAGGCCAGGCAUCUGGCUGUUUUCUAGGACUCAUCUUUUGCUACAAAAAUAGCCAGCUGAGGACUGUGCAGCUACCUCUUCUGGCUCAUCCCCUCUGACGCCCUGACUUCAGCAGUUGGAGGGACGUCCCCUGAUUGGAAGGAAGAUUUCUUGUGCUUUGAAUCUGGGGAUACGGCACCAAGGAUGUCUGACCUCAGAUAUCAGUUUGGUGUUUACUGGGGGUAAAGCCCUCUGCCAGACCUACUCACUAGAACGGGGAAUUACUUGGACAGGCGACGAAUGGUCACAGGCGUUUCUGCACUGCAGCUGGUUUUCUUCUAAGACAAUAUAUUCCGGAAUCCAACAAUCUAUUAAGAUGCUAUGAUUUCAUCAAGAGACGAAUCAGUGCUGAUAAGGGAACCUGUGCCCAAAAGGGGAGCUCAAGAUAACAGAGAAAAGGCACCUUUCUGAUGACUUUCUGUGACCUCUGGUUCCCCACUCCCUUCCUGUUUCCCGGGAUAAUAAACUGGCUUCUGCUGUGCCUCUCUCAUGUGGCAUUCUGGCUAAUCUCUAAUUUCAUCUCCCCGGCUGGAGUGCUCGGAACUCAAGGCCGGGGACUGAGGCUGUCCAGGAAGGUGGCCCCAGCACCUAGCGAAG